UGCGUAGGCGGUUGGGUAAGUCAGAGGUGAAAUUCCGGGGCCCAACCUCGGAACUGCCUUUGAUACUGCCUGACUAGAGUACUGGAGAGGAGACUGGAAUUCACGGUGUAGCAGUGAAAUGCGUAGAUAUCGUGAGGAAGACCAGUGGCGAAGGCGAGUCUCUGGACAGUUACUGACGCUGAGGCACGAAGGCUAGGGGAGCAAACG
Molecule: ribosomal RNA, 207 nt
Filed under: uncultured bacterium
Lineage: Bacteria
Description: partial 16S ribosomal RNA
Rfam family: Bacterial small subunit ribosomal RNA
Source: RNAcentral